UGAAGAAGGCUGUUGGGCUAAGGGUAAAAGU
This 31-nucleotide non-coding RNA is filed under the name Macaca fascicularis (crab-eating macaque). The record is from RNAcentral. RNAcentral also lists the same sequence under 1 other name. Lineage: Eukaryota; Metazoa; Chordata; Mammalia; Primates; Cercopithecidae.